CACGUAGGGGGCGAGCGUUGUCCGGAAUUACUGGGCGUAAAGGGCGCGUAGGCGGCCUAAUAAGUCAGAUGUGAAACCCCCGGGCUUAACCCAGGGCUUGCAUUUGAAACUGUUGGGCUUGAGGACAGGAGAGGAAAGCGGAAUUCCCAGUGUAGCGGUGAAAUGCGUAGAUAUUGGGAGGAACACCAGUGGCGAAGGCGGCUUUCUGGACUGAACCUGACGCUGAGGCGCGAAAGCGUGGGGAGCAAACAGG
Molecule: ribosomal RNA, 253 nt
Filed under: uncultured bacterium
Lineage: Bacteria
Description: partial 16S ribosomal RNA
Rfam family: Bacterial small subunit ribosomal RNA
Source: RNAcentral